Long non-coding RNA from Nerophis ophidion (straightnose pipefish), 269 nucleotides. RefSeq lists it as uncharacterized. The record is from RefSeq and is a predicted model, not a curated record. The transcript has 3 exons. Lineage: Eukaryota; Metazoa; Chordata; Actinopteri; Syngnathiformes; Syngnathidae.
CGGGCUGUGUUAAUCAAGCCGGAAGUGUUUGGCUUCAGAGAACACCACAUUACAGGUGAAUUUUCUGCCGCCACGUCACUCAGACGCAAACAAGUCAACAUGGAGGAUGAUACUAACUAAGUGAGCCACAGCAGCGUCUCAUCAAGCCAAUUCAUCACGGCGCCGGGCGGAUCUUCCCAGCACAGCAGACUCUUGAUGAAGUCAAGUUGCAUAUUUACUUUCAUGUGAGUGUGAAUCCCGGCCAUUGUCCUGUAACAUCAUUGAUAUAA